GAUGAACGCUGGCGGCGUGCCUAAUACGUGCAAGUCGAGCGAACAGACGAGGAGCUUGCUCCUCUGACGUUAGCGGCGGACGGGUGAGUAACACGUGGAUAACCUACCUAUAAGACUGGGAUAACUUCGGGAAACCGGAGCUAAUACCGGAUAAUAUAUUGAACCGCAUGGUUCAAUAGUGAAAGACGGUUUUGCUGUCACUUAUAGAUGGAUCCGCGCCGCAUUAGCUAGUUGGUAAGGUAACGGCUUACCAAGGCAACGAUGCGUAGCCGACCUGAGAGGGUGAUCGGCCACACUGGAACUGAGACACGGUCCAGACUCCUACGGGAGGCAGCAGUAGGGAAUCUUCCGCAAUGGGCGAAAGCCUGACGGAGCAACGCCGCGUGAGUGAUGAAGGUCUUCGGAUCGUAAAACUCUGUUAUUAGGGAAGAGCAAAUGUGUAAGUAACUAUGCACGUCUUGACGGUACCUAAUCAGAAAGCCACGGCUAACUACGUG
Molecule: ribosomal RNA, 497 nt
Filed under: uncultured bacterium
Lineage: Bacteria
Description: partial 16S ribosomal RNA
Rfam family: Bacterial small subunit ribosomal RNA
Source: RNAcentral